This 616-nucleotide ribosomal RNA is filed under the name Meyerozyma guilliermondii. RNAcentral describes it as "LSU rRNA". It matches the Rfam family "Eukaryotic large subunit ribosomal RNA", at positions 37 to 668 of the family's 3401-position model. The record is from RNAcentral. Lineage: Eukaryota; Fungi; Ascomycota; Pichiomycetes; Serinales; Debaryomycetaceae.
UGCAUUAUCAAUAAGCGGAGGAAAAGAAACCAACAGGGAUUGCCUUAGUAGCGGCGAGUGAAGCGGCAAAAGCUCAAAUUUGAAAUCUGGCACCUUCGGUGUCCGAGUUGUAAUUUGAAGAUUGUAACCUUGGGGUUGGCUCUUGUCUAUGUUUCUUGGAACAGGACGUCACAGAGGGUGAGAAUCCCGUGCGAUGAGAUGCCCAAUCCUAUGUAAGGUGCUUUCGAAGAGUCGAGUUGUUUGGGAAUGCAGCUCUAAGUGGGUGGUAAAUUCCAUCUAAAGCUAAAUAUUGGCGAGAGACCGAUAGCGAACAAGUACAGUGAUGGAAAGAUGAAAAGAACUUUGAAAAGAGAGUGAAAAAGUACGUGAAAUUGUUGAAAGGGAAGGGUUUGAGAUCAGACUCGAUAUUUUGUGAGCCUUGCCUUCGUGGCGGGGUGACCCGCAGCUUAUCGGGCCAGCAUCGGUUUGGGCGGUAGGAUAAUGGCGUAGGAAUGUGACUUUGCUUCGGUGAAGUGUUAUAGCCUGCGUUGAUGCUGCCUGCCUAGACCGAGGACUGCGAUUUUAUCAAGGAUGCUGGCAUAAUGAUCCCAAACCGCCCGUCUUGAAACACGGACCA